CCUACGGGUGGCAGCAGUGGGGAAUAUUGGGCAAUGGGCGCAAGUCUGACCCAGCAACGCCGCGUGAAGGAAGAAGGCUUUCGGGUUGUAAAGUUCUUUUGGCAGGGACGAAGCAAGUGACGGUACCUGACGAAUAAGCCACGGCUAACUACGUGCCAGCAGCCGUGGUAAUACGUAGGUGGCAAGCGUUAUCCGGAUUUAGUGGGGGUAAAGGGGGUGUAGGCGGGACUGCAAGUCAGAGGUGAAAACCAGGGGCUCAACCUGUGGCCUGCAUUUGAAACUGUAGUUCUUGAGUACUGGAGGGGCAGACGGAAUUCCUAGUGUAGCGGUGAAAUGCGUAGAUAUUAGGAGGAACACCAGUGGCGAAGGCGGUCUGCUGGACUGCAACUGACGCUGAGGCGCGAAAGCGUGGGGAGCAAACAGGAUUAGAUACCCUUGUAGUC
This 443-nucleotide ribosomal RNA is filed under the name uncultured bacterium. RNAcentral describes it as "partial 16S ribosomal RNA". It matches the Rfam family "Bacterial small subunit ribosomal RNA", at positions 338 to 795 of the family's 1533-position model. The record is from RNAcentral.